GUUGCCUCCCUUGUUCCACCGUGUGUGAUGCACUGGUCCCAGUCGGGCCAGAAUGCUUCCUUCAUACGUUCACAGUAGGCAGCCAGGUUUGGGUAUUUGUCUAGGACAGGGAACAAUACGAGAUAAUAAAUGUUAAAUAUAUGACUGACUGUUUAAAUAUCAUAUAAAUAAACAGAAAGAACAGUA
Molecule: long non-coding RNA, 186 nt
Organism: Haliotis rubra (blacklip abalone)
Lineage: Eukaryota; Metazoa; Mollusca; Gastropoda; Lepetellida; Haliotidae
Exons: 2
Source: RefSeq, a predicted model, not a curated record